Molecule: ribosomal RNA, 594 nt
Filed under: Nanorana zhaoermii
Lineage: Eukaryota; Metazoa; Chordata; Amphibia; Anura; Dicroglossidae
Description: Nanorana sp. n. SQ-2019 partial 16S ribosomal RNA
Rfam family: Bacterial large subunit ribosomal RNA
Source: RNAcentral
CGCCUGUUUACCAAAAACAUCGCCUCUUGAUAAAUUAUAAGAGGUCCAGCCUGCCCAGUGACAUAGUUAAACGGCCGCGGUAUCCUGACCGUGCGAAGGUAGCAUAAUCACUUGUUCUUUAAAUAAGGACUAGUAUCAACGGCAUCACGAGGGUUACACUGUCUCCUCUCUCCAAUCAGUGAAACUGAUUUCCCCGUGAAGAAGCGGGGAUAAACCUAUAAGACGAGAAGACCCCAUGGAGCUUUAAACUCAACAACAACCUCCCCCACAAAAUUCUACAUAACCCGGAGGUUUUGUUUGUUAGUUUUGGGUUGGGGUGACCGCGGAGAAAAACUAAACCUCCACGACGAACGGAAUUAACUCCUAAUCUAAGAGCCACUGCUCUAAGAAUCAAUAAAUUGACAUAAAAUGAUCCGAUAAUCGAUCAACGAACCAAGUUACCCUGGGGAUAACAGCGCAAUCCAUUUCAAGAGCUCCUAUCGACAAAUGGGUUUACGACCUCGAUGUUGGAUCAGGGUAUCCCAGUGGUGCAGCCGCUACUAAAGGUUUGUUUGUUCAACAAUUAAAACCCUACGUGAUCUGAGUUCAGACCGG